UACGGAGGGUGCGAGCGUUGUUCGGAAUCACUGGGCGUAAAGCGCGUGUAGGCGGCCUCUUAAGUCCGAUGUGAAAGCCCGGGGCUCACCCCCGGAAGUGCAUUGGAUACUGGGAGGCUGGAGUACCGGAGAGGAGGGUGGAAUUCCUGGUGUAGCGGUGAAAUGCGUAGAUAUCAGGAGGAACACCUGUGGCGAAGGCGGCCCUCUGGACGGAUACUGACGCUGAGACGCGAAAGCGUGGGGAGCAAACAGG
RNAcentral lists this ribosomal RNA (253 nucleotides) under uncultured bacterium. Its description in RNAcentral is "partial 16S ribosomal RNA". It matches the Rfam family "Bacterial small subunit ribosomal RNA", at positions 524 to 776 of the family's 1533-position model. The record is from RNAcentral.